This 773-nucleotide ribosomal RNA is filed under the name uncultured bacterium. Its description in RNAcentral is "bacterial SSU rRNA". It matches the Rfam family "Bacterial small subunit ribosomal RNA", at positions 8 to 798 of the family's 1533-position model. The record is from RNAcentral.
AGAGUUUGAUCCUGGCUCAGGACGAACGCUGGCGGCGUGCUUAACACAUGCAAGUCGAACGGAAAGGCCCUUCGGGGUACUCGAGUGGCGAACGGGUGAGUAACACGUAGGUGAUCUGCCCUGCACUCUGGGAUAAGCCUGGGAAACUGGGUCUAAUACCGGAUAGGACCGCAUGCUUCAUGGUGUGUGGUGCAAAGCUUUUGCGGUGUGGGAUGAGCCCGCGGCCUAUCAGCUUGUUGGUGGGGUAAUGGCCUACCAAGGCGACGACGGGUAGCCGGCCUGAGAGGGUGACCGGCCACACUGGGACUGAGAUACGGCCCAGACUCCUACGGGAGGCAGCAGUGGGGAAUAUUGCACAAUGGGCGCAAGCCUGAUGCAGCGACGCCGCGUGAGGGAUGACGGCCUUCGGGUUGUAAACCUCUUUCAGUAGGGACGAAGCGAAAGUGACGGUACCUACAGAAGAAGGACCGGCCAACUACGUGCCAGCAGCCGCGGUAAUACGUAGGGUCCGAGCGUUGUCCGGAAUUACUGGGCGUAAAGAGCUCGUAGGUGGUUUGUCGCGUUGUUCGUGAAAACUCACAGCUUAACUGUGGGCGUGCGGGCGAUACGGGCAGACUAGAGUACUGCAGGGGAGACUGGAAUUCCUGGUGUAGCGGUGGAAUGCGCAGAUAUCAGGAGGAACACCGGUGGCGAAGGCGGGUCUCUGGGCAGUAACUGACGCUGAGGAGCGAAAGCGUGGGUAGCGAACAGGAUUAGAUACCCUGGUAGUCCAA